This 352-nucleotide long non-coding RNA is filed under the name Homo sapiens (human). Its description in RNAcentral is "HSALNT0331340". Lineage: Eukaryota; Metazoa; Chordata; Mammalia; Primates; Hominidae. The record is from RNAcentral.
GCCCAAGCCCUGGGCGGCAGGUGGAGAGGCCAAGGCAAGGCCAGUCGGGGGGCGGCGUCAGGGCAGCUGGAGCUGGAUGGGAACAGGGGCGGGGGUGAGGUCACAGGCCAUCAGGAGGCACAUGGAGGCAUGCGAGACCCCGAGGGGCACUGCUGGGGCUGGGAGGCAUGAAUCCAGGACAGGGGAGGAUGAUCAAAGUUCUAGACCACUCCUCUAAGUUUCUAGAACUGUGCUAGCCUAUAUGGUAGUCACUAGUCCGUGUGGCUAUUUAAAUUUAUUCUUUGUUUUUUUUUUGUUUUGUUUUUUUGGGUUUUUUUUUUUUUUUUUUGAGACAGUCUUGCUGUAUCGCCCA